RNAcentral lists this unclassified non-coding RNA (331 nucleotides) under soil metagenome. RNAcentral's name for it is "partial contains 5.8S ribosomal RNA, internal transcribed spacer 2, and large subunit ribosomal RNA". The stretch from base 1 to 120 matches the Rfam family "5.8S ribosomal RNA", at positions 35 to 154 of the family's 154-position model. The record is from RNAcentral.
GAUGAAGAACGCAGCGAAAUGCGAUAAGUAAUGUGAAUUGCAGAAUUCAGUGAAUCAUCGAAUCUUUGAACGCACAUUGCGCCCCCUGGUAUUCCGGGGGGCAUGCCUGUUCGAGCGUCAUUUCACCACUCAAGCCUCGCUUGGUAUUGGGCAACGCGGUCCGCCGCGUGCCUCAAAUCGUCCGGCUGGGUCUUCUGUCCCCUAAGCGUUGUGGAAACUAUUCGCUAAAGGGUGUUCGGGAGGCUACGCCGUAAAACAACCCCAUUUCUAAGGUUGACCUCGGAUCAGGUAGGGUUACCCGCUGAACUUAAGCAUAUCAAUAAGCGGAGGA